UUAAGCGACUAAGCGUACACGGUGGAUGCCCUGGCAGUCAGAGGCGAUGAAGGACGUGCUAAUCUGCGAAAAGCGUCGGUAAGGUGAUAUGAACCGUUACAGCCGGCGAUGUCCGAAUGGGGAAACCCAGUGCAAUUCGUUGCACUAUCGUUAACUGAAUACAUAGGUUAACGAGGCGAACCGGGGGAACUGAAACAUCUAAGUACCCCGAGGAAAAGAAAUCAACCGAGAUUCCCCCAGUAGCGGCGAGCGAACGGGGAGCAGCCCGGAGUCUGAAUCAGCUUGUGUGUUAGUGGAAGCGUCUGGAAAGUCGCAGGGUACAGGGUGAUACUCCCGUACACUAAAACACACAGGCUGUGAACUCGAAGAGUAGGGCGGGACACGUGGUAUCCUGUCUGAAUAUGGGGGGACCAUCCUCCAAGGCUAAAUACUCCUGACUGACCGAUAGUGAACCAGUACCGUGAGGGAAAGGCGAAAAGAACCCCGGCGAGGGGAGUGAAAAAGAACCUGAAACCGUGUACGUACAAGCAGUAGGAGCCCCACCACCAAAGCGUUUCGCUUUGCGUGGUGCGCAAAAUGCGUAACGACAGCAUGAUGGACGGUUAACGGAGCGUCAGCGACGUUCAACCUCAAAAAUCAGGCAGUGGAGCGUUUUGGGGUGGGGUGACUGCGUACCUUUUGUAUAAUGGGUCAGCGACUUAUAUUCUGUAGCAAGGUUAACCGUAUAGGGGAGCCGCAGGGAAACCGAGUCUUAACUGGGCGUUAAGUUGCAGGGUAUAGACCCGAAACCCGGUGAUCUAGCCAUGGGCAGGUUGAAGGUUGGGUAACACUAACUGGAGGACCGAACCGACUAAUGUUGAAAAAUUAGCGGAUGACUUGUGGCUGGGGGUGAAAGGCCAAUCAAACCGGGAGAUAGCUGGUUCUCCCCGAAAGCUAUUUAGGUAGCGCCUCGUGAAUUCAUCUUCGGGGGUAGAGCACUGUUUCGGCUAGGGGGUCAUCCCGACUUACCAACCCGAUGCAAACUACGAAUACCGAAGAAUGUUAUCACGGGAGACACACGGCGGGUGCUAACGUCCGUCGUGAAGAGGGAAACAACCCAGACCGCCAGCUAAGGUCCCAAAGUCAUGGUUAAGUGGGAAACGAUGUGGGAAGGCCCAGACAGCCAGGAUGUUGGCUUAGAAGCAGCCAUCAUUUAAAGAAAGCGUAAUAGCUCACUGGUCGAGUCGGCCUGCGCGGAAGAUGUAACGGGGCUAAACCAUGCACCGAAGCUGCGGCAGCGACACUAUGUGUUGUUGGGUAGGGGAGCGUUCUGUAAGCCGUUGAAGGUGGCCUGUGAGGGUUGCUGGAGGUAUCAGAAGUGCGAAUGCUGACAUAAGUAACGAUAAUGCGGGUGAAAAACCCGCACGCCGGAAGACCAAGGGUUCCUGUCCAACGUUAAUCGGGGCAGGGUGAGUCGACCCCUAAGGCGAGGCCGAAAGGCGUAGUCGAUGGGAAACAGGUUAAUAUUCCUGUACUUGGUGUUACUGCGAAGGGGGGACGGAGAAGGCUAUGUUGGCCGGGCGACGGUUGUCCCGGUUUAAGCAUGUAGGCGGAUGUUCCAGGUAAAUCCGGAACGUUAUUAACGCUGAGGUGUGAUGACGAGGCACUACGGUGCUGAAGUGACAAAUGCCCUGCUUCCAGGAAAAGCCUCUAAGCAUCAGGUAACAUCAAAUCGUACCCCAAACCGACACAGGUGGUCAGGUAGAGAAUACCAAGGCGCUUGAGAGAACUCGGGUGAAGGAACUAGGCAAAAUGGUGCCGUAACUUCGGGAGAAGGCACGCUGAUGGUAGGUGAAGUGACUUGCUCAUGGAGCUGAAAUCAGUCGAAGAUACCAGCUGGCUGCAACUGUUUAUUAAAAACACAGCACUGUGCAAACACGAAAGUGGACGUAUACGGUGUGACGCCUGCCCGGUGCCGGAAGGUUAAUUGAUGGGGUUAUCCUCACGGAGAAGCUCUUGAUCGAAGCCCCGGUAAACGGCGGCCGUAACUAUAACGGUCCUAAGGUAGCGAAAUUCCUUGUCGGGUAAGUUCCGACCUGCACGAAUGGCGUAAUGAUGGCCAGGCUGUCUCCACCCGAGACUCAGUGAAAUUGAACUCGCUGUGAAGAUGCAGUGUACCCGCGGCAAGACGGAAAGACCCCGUGAACCUUUACUAUAGCUUGACACUGAACACUGGUCCUUGAUGUGUAGGAUAGGUGGGAGGCUUUGAAGUGUGGACGCCAGUCUGCAUGGAGCCGUCCUUGAAAUACCACCCUUUAAUGGCUGGUGUUCUAACGUGGGCCCCUAAUCGGGGUUGCGGACAGUGUCUGGUGGGUAGUUUGACUGGGGCGGUCUCCUCCUAAAGAGUAACGGAGGAGCACGAAGGUCAGCUAAUCCUGGUCGGACAUCAGGAGGUUAGUGCAAUGGCAUAAGCUGGCUUGACUGCGAGCGUGACGGCGCGAGCAGGUGCGAAAGCAGGUCAUAGUGAUCCGGUGGUUCUGAAUGGAAGGGCCAUCGCUCAACGGAUAAAAGGUACUCCGGGGAUAACAGGCUGAUACCGCCCAAGAGUUCAUAUCGACGGCGGUGUUUGGCACCUCGAUGUCGGCUCAUCACAUCCUGGGGCUGAAGUAGGUCCCAAGGGUAUGGCUGUUCGCCAUUUAAAGUGGUACGCGAGCUGGGUUUAGAACGUCGUGAGACAGUUCGGUCCCUAUCUGCCGUGGGCGCUGGAGAAUUGAGGGGGGCUGCUCCUAGUACGAGAGGACCGGAGUGGACGCAUCACUGGUGUUCGGGUUGUCAUGCCAAUGGCAUUGCCCGGUAGCUAAAUGCGGAAGAGAUAAGUGCUGAAAGCAUCUAAGCACGAAACUUGCCCCGAGAUGAGUUCUCCCUGACUCCUUGAGAGUCCUGAAGGAACGUUGAAGACGACGACGUUGAUAGGCCGGGUGUGUAAGCGCAGCGAUGCGUUGAGCUAACCGGUACUAAUGAACCGUGAGGCUUAACCUU
RNAcentral lists this ribosomal RNA (3018 nucleotides) under Klebsiella oxytoca. Its description in RNAcentral is "bacterial LSU rRNA". It matches the Rfam family "Bacterial large subunit ribosomal RNA". Lineage: Bacteria; Pseudomonadati; Pseudomonadota; Gammaproteobacteria; Enterobacterales; Enterobacteriaceae. The record is from RNAcentral.